RNAcentral lists this ribosomal RNA (481 nucleotides) under uncultured bacterium. RNAcentral describes it as "bacterial SSU rRNA". It matches the Rfam family "Bacterial small subunit ribosomal RNA", at positions 90 to 602 of the family's 1533-position model. The record is from RNAcentral.
GGCGAGCGGCGAACGGCUGAGUAACGCGCUGGGAAUUUGCCCCAAAGUGAGGAAUAACUGCCCGAAAGGGUGGCUAAUGCCGCAUAUGAUCUUCGGAUUAAAGGAUUUAUCCGCUUUGGGAGAAGCCCGCGUCGGAUUAGGUAGUUGGUGAGGCAAUGGCUCACCAAGCCGACGAUCCGUAGCUGGUCUGAGAGGAUGACCAGCCAGACUGGAACUGAGACACGGUCCAGACUCCUACGGGAGGCAGCAGUGAGGAAUCUUCCACAAUGGGCGAAAGCCUGAUGGAGCAACGCCGCGUGCAGGAUGAAGGCCUUCGGGUUGUAAACUGCUUUUAUGAUUGAGGAAUUUGACAGUAGAUCAUGAAUAAGGAUCGGCUAACUACGUGCCAGCAGCCGCGGUCAUACGUAGGAUCCGAGCGUUAUCCGGAGUGACUGGGCGUAAAGAGUUGCGUAAGCGGUUUGUUAAGUGAAUAGUGAAAUCU